CCCCUCUCAGGGUCGCACCUGGAGAGUUUCCAGUACUCUACCAGUCUCGACUACCGGGAAGGAGAGUCAAGCUGAGGCCUACCCAUUUCAUCCCUAGCUUGGGCAGUGGCUAGUGAGUGGAAGGCCAUCUGCUACAAGU
This is a small nucleolar RNA of Tachyglossus aculeatus (Australian echidna), 139 nucleotides long. Lineage: Eukaryota; Metazoa; Chordata; Mammalia; Monotremata; Tachyglossidae. The record is from RefSeq and is a predicted model, not a curated record.